Long non-coding RNA from Culex quinquefasciatus (southern house mosquito), 346 nucleotides. RefSeq lists it as uncharacterized. Lineage: Eukaryota; Metazoa; Arthropoda; Insecta; Diptera; Culicidae. The transcript has 3 exons. The record is from RefSeq and is a predicted model, not a curated record.
UCGUGAGCCGCUACGUUACAUUAGGUUCGCAAGUGGUUAGCACGUGCCUUCUGCUGACCAAAGUCAAAGGCUUAGCCAAUUCAAAGCUUUUGAAGUCGCACACCGAUCAAUAAAAUCUAGUCCGCACAAAAGAUCAGGCGAAAACCCACUGUUCAACGUGGGAGCGAGUCUGGAGCGGUUUCUGGAGCGGCGCGAGACCGGAAUUUGCGGCUCGAAACAUCCGUUCGAGGUUAGGUCGAACCACCCUAACCACGUGACUGAGGCGUCACUCACUGGGAAAACCGACGCCACCCCUUCGUGAACGCUAGAAUCUCCACUAAACAUCGCGCGAAGCAAGCAUCCGACG